AGAUUGAACGCUGGCGGCAGGCCUAACACAUGCAAGUCGAGCGGUAGAGAGGUGCUUGCAUCUCUUGAGAGCGGCGGACGGGUGAGUAAUGCCUAGGAAUCUGCCUAGUGGUGGGGGAUAACGUUCGGAAACGGACGCUAAUACCGCAUACGUCCUACGGGAGAAAGCGGGGGACCUUCGGGCCUCGCGCCAUUAGAUGAGCCUAGGUCGGAUUAGCUAGUUGGUGAGGUAAUGGCUCACCAAGGCGACGAUCCGUAACUGGUCUGAGAGGAUGAUCAGUCACACUGGAACUGAGACACGGUCCAGACCCCUAGGGAGCAGCAGUGGGAAUAUUGG
This 336-nucleotide ribosomal RNA is filed under the name uncultured soil bacterium. Its description in RNAcentral is "bacterial SSU rRNA". It matches the Rfam family "Bacterial small subunit ribosomal RNA", at positions 26 to 367 of the family's 1533-position model. The record is from RNAcentral.